UGAGGCAGGAGAAUCACUUGAACCCAGGAAGUGGAGGCUGCAGUGGGCCGAGAUCGCGCCACUGCACUCCAGCCUAGGUGACAGAGCGAGACUCCAUCUCA
This 101-nucleotide microRNA precursor is filed under the name Macaca nemestrina (pig-tailed macaque). RNAcentral describes it as "miRNA (ENSMNEG00000023412.1)". The record is from RNAcentral. Lineage: Eukaryota; Metazoa; Chordata; Mammalia; Primates; Cercopithecidae.